This 492-nucleotide ribosomal RNA is filed under the name uncultured bacterium. RNAcentral's name for it is "partial 16S ribosomal RNA". It matches the Rfam family "Bacterial small subunit ribosomal RNA", at positions 29 to 507 of the family's 1533-position model. The record is from RNAcentral.
AGUGAACGCUGGCGGUAGGCCUAACACAUGCAAGUCGAACGGCAGCACAGUAAGAGCUUGCUCUUACGGGUGGCGAGUGGCGGACGGGUGAGGAAUACAUCGGAAUCUACUUUUUCGUGGGGGAUAACGUAGGGAAACUUACGCUAAUACAGCAUACGACCUACGGGUGAAAGCAGGGGAUCUUCGGACCUUGCGCGAUUGAAUGAGCCGAUGUCGGAUUAGCUAGUUGGCGGGGUAAAGGCCCACCAAGGCGACGAUCCGUAGCUGGUCUGAGAGGAUGAUCAGCCACACUGGAACUGGGACACGGUCCAGACUCCUACGGGAGGCAGCAGUGGGGAAUAUUGGACAAUGGGCGCAAGCCUGCUCCAGCCAUACCGCGUGGGUGAAGAAGGCCUUCGGGUUGUAAAGCCCUUUUGUUGGGAAAGAAAAGCAGCAGGUUAAUACCCCGCUGUUCUGACGGUACCCAAAGAAUAAGCACCGGCUAACUUCGUG